RNAcentral lists this ribosomal RNA (465 nucleotides) under Vreelandella stevensii. RNAcentral's name for it is "partial 16S ribosomal RNA". It matches the Rfam family "Bacterial small subunit ribosomal RNA", at positions 338 to 795 of the family's 1533-position model. Lineage: Bacteria; Pseudomonadati; Pseudomonadota; Gammaproteobacteria; Oceanospirillales; Halomonadaceae. The record is from RNAcentral.
CCUACAGGGGGCUGCAGUGGGGAAUAUUGGACAAUGGGGGGAACCCUGAUCCAGCCAUGCCGCGUGUGUGAAGAAGGCCCUCGGGUUGUAAAGCACUUUCAGUGAGGAAGAACGCCUGGUGGUUAAUACCCAUCAGGAAAGACAUCACUCACAGAAGAAGCACCGGCUAACUCCGUGCCAGCAGCCGCGGUAAUACGGAGGGUGCGAGCGUUAAUCGGAAUUACUGGGCGUAAAGCGCGCGUAGGUGGCUUGAUAAGCCGGUUGUGAAAGCCCCGGGCUCAACCUGGGAACGGCAUCCGGAACUGUCAAGCUAGAGUGCAGGAGAGGAAGGUAGAAUUCCCGGUGUAGCGGUGAAAUGCGUAGAGAUCGGGAGGAAUACCAGUGGCGAAGGCGGCCUUCUGGACUGACACUGACACUGAGGUGCGAAAGCGUGGGUAGCAAACAGGAUUAGAUACCCCAGUAGUC